Molecule: non-coding RNA, 3091 nt
Organism: Ictidomys tridecemlineatus (thirteen-lined ground squirrel)
Lineage: Eukaryota; Metazoa; Chordata; Mammalia; Rodentia; Sciuridae
Source: RefSeq, a predicted model, not a curated record
AUGAGUGUAAAAGGGAUGGGCAUCAAAAGUGCUUAUCAGGGGCGACUCCCUUGGAUGGCAGAUUUCAUUCCAAAUUAAAAAGGAAGAAGAGGGAGAAAUCUUAGAAGAUUUCCAGUGUUUCAAGAAAUGGAAUUCUCUUGGCUGCCAACCAAUGAUGCCACCAUCCAUGCCAGUAGUAUUUAUUGAGCAUCACCCACUGCAUGCCAUGAGCUUCUCCAGGAACUUAGGGUGGAUCACUGGACAUGAAGACAAGGAAACAAACUCUUCCUUCCUGUCUUCUGCCGGUAGCAGAAAAUAGACUCGCCAAGCAGAUGUCCAGGGCUGGUGGAGGAGUACCUCGGGAUGCAGCUUCCUGGAGAGAAAACAAACCCCAGAGAGCCUGGGCGGUCCGGGUCCUGGUGGGGGUGGAAGCCUUGGGCCCCCAGGUGGAGCACUGUGUGCUACUGUAGGCUGCUAAGCUCCUCUCCACCCCCCUCUCCCUGCAUCACCCUUUGUCUCUUUCCUGCUAACUGUGAGACAAGUCAACUAAAAAUGGUCAGGGAAAACUCAGAGUCGCUGCAUUUAAAAACUCUUGUAGCCUCCUGUUUGCAGACUCCUGUGACGUAGAUGAACCAGAUCCAGAGAAUUUCUCAUGGGAAUCCAGGAGGCUUCAGCAUAACUGCUGGCUUAGUUGCGGCUGCUUUGGGCCCUUGUGAAUGUGGCCCUUGAGGUUUCAUUUCUCAUCUUAAAGACAUGGGCGGCAGCAGAUUCUGUGAGUGCACCUGGAAGGUACCAGGUAGACUAUCUGAACCAGCCUCUCAAGGAUGGCCUCCGUGGACCUAAGAACGCCUGAAGCCUGUGGAGCUGGCCUGGCUUGGGCUGGCUUGGGCUGGAGGUUUGCAUCCCAAGGAAAACAGGAGGGCAUAAGAAGAGAGAAUGUUCUCAGACAUCAUAAGAGCGUCAUUAUCAAAGUCCUAGGGAUUUUUGUUUGUUUUGAUCUUUUUUUUCUGUUCUUGAAGCACAUUACCCAAUUUCAGUUGAGCUCUUUUAUAAAUAUAUGCCCCUGCACAUCCCUUCAGCAUUUGUGCUUCCAGUGACUGUUUAUUUCUCUUUUGGAUUCUCUUGCUGAGGACCUUUUCUCCACUGAAAAGAUGUUUCAGAAUGUCCUGGAAGAGGAAAUGUUUUAUUUAAGAAUUAAUAUUUAUUUUAAAGCUUUGCUUUCACAUACUUACUGAGUGGGGGAAAAUUUUACCUUUAAAAGAGUGAGGGAAAAUGCAAGUUGUCAUCAUAGCUAUGGUUUCUUGUAGGAAUUCCAAGUAUAGUUUGUUGUCAAAGUUAUGCAUUACAUAAAUCUUAGUAGUAGUAUUCACAUUAUUUAACUUAAUAAUUUUUUUCAGAUGUCAGUGAUAUGUCUUAAGGAGGGGAUUUUUUUUUUUUUAAUGUUUACACCAGGACUGUGUGAACUAGCAAUAGUUUGCUCUUUGAGAAUAGGGAAUGAAUCCUAUUGACUUUUUUCCCUAUUGCAAGUUAGCUGUUAUAAUCACUAUUAUUGAAGAAGGCUAACUUUGUAUCAGACAUGGAUAUAAGCAAAGUUGUGCUGGCAACCCACCUUAAAAAAAAAAACAAAAAACCUUGACUUGCAGUGUUUGCCAAUGACCAUAGUGUAAAUAUUCCCAAGACAACCAAGUUCAAGCUACCAAAGUUCAUGAACUGAAUAUGGAGUUGGGAUAAUCAUCUUUGGAUUUCUUGAGUCAGUAUGAAUCAUCUCCAGCACCAUUGGUAUAGGUAUUCACUGGUACUAAUUAUUUUAAAAAUCAAUAAGUAUUAGUUACUCUACAACAGCACAUUAUUAUCAACCCUCAUAUAGGUAAGGAAACUGAGACAUGGGGAAAUCAUAUUACUUUGCAAAGGUGACUAAAUCAAUAAACAGUAAAGCCAGGUUUUAAGGCUCAGGCUACCUAACUCCAGAGCCCACACACAUCACCCCUGUACGACACUGCUGGCUGGGGUGCAGAUGCUCAACAGAUGAUUACUAAGUGUGGAAAUGUGGAUUUCAAGAUGUGUACUACUCAUUUAAGUAUUGUAUCAAAGAAGAUUCCACUAGAGAAAGAGAACUGGUAAUAAAUAUAUAAAUUUAAUAUAAAUAUAUAUUUACAUGUAAUAAAGAUAUAUUUGAUAUGAACCAAUUUCAAGAAAUUGGCUUAUAUGAUUGUGGCAACUUGCUAGGCAAGUCAGAAACCUGAAGGACAGACUGGAAGGCAAGGCAGAAACUAUUGAGCAGGAGCCGACACUGCACUCCACAGGUAGAACCUCUUCCCCAGAGAAGGAAGCCUCAAUUCUGCUCUUAAAGCCUUUCAGUUUGUUUUUAGCUAAAUUGACAUAUCAAAUGUUGAACUGAACUGUGUUCCCCAAAAAGUUACGUUGAAGUCAUAAGCUUUAGUGUUGGUGUGUAAAUUUUGGCAUAGCUUUUACUUUUAGUACAACUUGUUACUUUAUAAUAACAUCUAUACUGUCCUUGCAGCAGGCUAAAUAAUGCAUUAAACUAUUUGAGAUUAUCCAGUUAAAGAUAUUUUGCCUACUGAGUACCACAUAGUUGUGCAAGACUGAGUCAGAUUGACUGCAAAGCUCAAGUUUCCUUCACAGGCAUUAAUUGAAACACUGGAUUAUCCACACCACACAUUUAGCGGUUGAAUUUCUACUCUGCAUAUUUGAUGCCUUCAACUAUAAGGAAUCACUGAGUAGUUGCUGCACACCAGUGUUUGCUAUUAUUUUCAUCCCCAUUUAUUACAAAUGAAGAAACAAGUAUAGCUAAGUAGGGACUUUCCUUAAUCACACAGCUAGUAAGCGGCAGGUCUUUGAUUAGGUCUUAGGCAUUCUGACACAGCCUUUUCUUUUAAACUUUUUAAUAUGUGAAUAUAAUGGAAAUCACAUUCAGCAAAACUUAUAAUACUUUGUGCUCAGUUAAAAACAGCAUCCAGUCAUUAGCAUUAAACUAAUAAUGGUUGUGUAGACUUCAACUGGUAAGUAUGGGUUGAUUGUCCGCAUGCAAAAUGAAAAAUUAACAAAAAGCAUUUUAUUUCAAUUAUAACCUGUAAAUAAAAGUUUAAUUAAA